Molecule: ribosomal RNA, 341 nt
Filed under: uncultured bacterium
Lineage: Bacteria
Description: bacterial SSU rRNA
Rfam family: Bacterial small subunit ribosomal RNA
Source: RNAcentral
ACUCCUACGGGAGGCAGCAGUGGGGAAUAUUGCACAAUGGGGGAAACCCUGAUGCAGCCAUGCCGCGUGUGUGAAGAAGGCCUUCGGGUUGUAAAGCACUUUCAGCAGUGAGGAAGGGUGGGGUAUGUUAAUAGCAUACUCAUUUGACGUUAGCUGCAGAAGAAGCACCGGCUAACUCCGUGCCAGCAGCCGCGGUAAUACGGAGGGUGCGAGCGUUAAUCGGAAUUACUGGGCGUAAAGCGCAUGCAGGUGGUUUUGUUAAGUCAGAUGUGAAAGCCCGGGGCUCAACCUCGGAAUUGCAUUUGAAACUGGCAAACUAGAGUACUGUAGAGGGGGUGGGA